AAUGAUAAAAAUACGAGUGAACCAACACCUGAAGUGGUGAUCGUGCGGUAGGGUAAAAACGAGUGGAUACCGCUAGGUAUUCCCAGUCAUCUUGAAAAUAAAGAAUGUGUCGACAAUAAAGACAACAACACUCAUGUUUUUACCGCAUAGUAUCUGUUUAUUGGGUCUACAUGUUUCGCCUAAUCGAUAGGCAUCAUCAGGACAAUUGUACAAAGAAAUAUGACAGUGAAGUAUGAAUUUAGCGAUUAGCGGUUUUAACCGGAAGUGUAAGUUACAUAAUAGUAGUUAUGGUGACGUUAUAUGAAUAGAAAGUGAAAGUGAAAGUAAAUUAAAAUAGAAAAUAUAUAAAUAGAAAUGUUGGUGUUUUCUUGAAAGGUAACAGCAUCUCGUGUGGUUGACAUCUAUCCCGUUCUGUGUAGUUAAUCUCAUGGGAAGUCUUUGGUGGUAUUGUACGUUAUUGUUAUCUAAUAAUCAUGUCAGUGAAUUCCAAAUUGGACAACACCUCACUGUUCAUUCCGUACAGCCAACUGGCUUCGCUCUGGGACCCUUGAGUUACUGCUUCCAAUUGCGUCGGUAAUGGUGUGAGGUGUAUGAUCGGCGCACAUUAUGGAAAUUAAAAUAGUGGUAGAUCCGUAAAUAUUUAAUUAUGAGUUGUGUUAAUGACUAAAGCUUUUGCUGUGGUUUGAUGUUGAAUCUGAAAGGGCUUCCAGCAGGUUUCUUCUUUCUAAACCGGUGGUAAAGUAUUGUAAUACUCUGUUAAAUCUUUAUAUUAAUUUUGCGUAGUAUCAUAACUUCAGCUAGGUGGUCUUGAUUUCUUAUUAGUGUUAUCAGCGGUUGUAGCGGUUUCUUCUUCUCUUGCUCCUUCUCUUCUUGGACAGUGCAGAAUCUUGAUC
This 893-nucleotide long non-coding RNA is filed under the name Mytilus galloprovincialis (Mediterranean mussel). The record is from RNAcentral. Lineage: Eukaryota; Metazoa; Mollusca; Bivalvia; Mytilida; Mytilidae.